This 460-nucleotide ribosomal RNA is filed under the name uncultured bacterium. RNAcentral's name for it is "partial 16S ribosomal RNA". It matches the Rfam family "Bacterial small subunit ribosomal RNA", at positions 338 to 795 of the family's 1533-position model. The record is from RNAcentral.
CCUACGGGUGGCAGCAGUGAGGAAUAUUGGUCAAUGGACGAGAGUCUGAACCAGCCAAGUAGCGUGAAGGCUGACUGCCCUAUGGGUUGUAAACUUCUUUUAUAUGGGAAUAAAAUGUUCCACGUGUGGGAUUUUGUAUGUACCAUAUGAAUAAGGAUCGGCUAACUCCGUGCCAGCAGCCGCGGUAAUACGGAGGAUCCGAGCGUUAUCCGGAUUUAUUGGGUUUAAAGGGAGCGUAGGUGGAUUGUUAAGUCAGUUGUGAAAGUUUGCGGCUCAACCGUAAAAUUGCAGUUGAGACUGGCAGUCUUGAGUACAGUAGAGGUGGGCGGAAUUCGUGGUGUAGCGGUGAAAUGCUUAGAUAUCACGAAGAACUCCGAUUGCGAAGGCAGUUCACUGGACUGCAACUGACACUGAGGCUCGAAAGUGUGGGUAUCAAACAGGAUUAGAUACCCCUGUAGUC